Molecule: ribosomal RNA, 497 nt
Filed under: uncultured bacterium
Lineage: Bacteria
Description: partial 16S ribosomal RNA
Rfam family: Bacterial small subunit ribosomal RNA
Source: RNAcentral
GAUGAACGCUGGCGGCGUGCCUAAUACAUGCAAGUCGAGCGAACAGAUAAGGAGCUUGCUCCUUUGACGUUAGCGGCGGACCGGUGAGUAACACGUGGGUAACCUACCUAUAAGACUGGGAUAACUUCGGGAAACCGGAGCUAAUACCGGAUAACAUUUGGAACCGCAUGGUUCUAAAGUGAAAGAUGGUUUUGCUAUCACUUAUAGAUGGACCCGCGCCGUAUUAGCUAGUUGGUAAGGUAACGGCUUACCAAGGCGACGAUACGUAGCCGACCUGAGAGGGUGAUCGGCCACACUGGAACUGAGACACGGUCCAGACUCCUACGGGAGGCAGCAGUAGGGAAUCUUCCGCAAUGGGCGAAAGCCUGACGGAGCAACGCCGCGUGAGUGAUGAAGGGUUUCGGCUCGUAAAACUCUGUUAUUAGGGAAGAACAAAUGUGUAAGUAACUGUGCACGUCUUGACGGUACCUAAUCAGAAAGCCACGGCUAACUACGUG